This 215-nucleotide small nucleolar RNA is filed under the name Salarias fasciatus (jewelled blenny). RNAcentral describes it as "Small nucleolar RNA U3 (ENSSFAG00005002792.1)". It matches the Rfam family "Small nucleolar RNA U3". From Rfam's summary of the family: Small nucleolar RNAs (snoRNAs) are involved in the processing and modification of rRNA in the nucleolus. The record is from Rfam by way of RNAcentral. Lineage: Eukaryota; Metazoa; Chordata; Actinopteri; Blenniiformes; Blenniidae.
AAGACUAUACUUUCAGGGAUCAUUUCUAUAGUUCUUGACUUGAGAAAUGUGUUUCUAAAGUGUCUGGUCUCGCUACUCCCGAUGAUGAGAUGUAAUAUUCCCUCUGAGCAUAUGAAGACGGCAGAGAGUAUGGCUCAGUUCAUAUGCUCUCUGCUACUGAUGAUUGUUCUUUGCCUCCAAGUGGAGCAUUGAGGAGGGAGUAUGUUCCGAGUGGU